Molecule: RNA transcript, 3670 nt
Organism: Humulus lupulus (European hop)
Lineage: Eukaryota; Viridiplantae; Streptophyta; Magnoliopsida; Rosales; Cannabaceae
Gene name: DExH-box ATP-dependent RNA helicase DExH8
Exons: 15
Source: RefSeq, a predicted model, not a curated record
UCUGUUUCUUCCCUUUUAGCUUUUUUCCUCCAUUCUUGCUCUCUGAGGAGCCUAACAAAGAAAAUCAACGGGAGACUACUCCUUUUAGUCCUAGUCCCGAUCAAGGACAACGACGAGAGCGAGCUUAGGGUAACCAACAAUGGCGUCGCCGUCGUCUCCGAGUUCUUCAACUUUCCGCUCUUCGUCAUCCUCAGUUCCCCUCCGUUUCUCGUCGCUCCCUGUAAUGGCUUACCGCGAGAAAAUCAUGGAGAAAGUUACCGAGAAUCGCGUCACUUUGAUCGUCGGCGAGACUGGCUGCGGGAAGAGCUCACAAGUUCCACAGUUUCUAAUGGAUGCGAAUAUAAAGCCCGUUCUGUGCACACAGCCUAGGAGAUUUGCUGUUGUUGCUGUUGCUCAAACGGUUGCAAAGUCACGUAAUUGUGAAGUUGGAGGAGAGGUUGGAUAUCACAUUGGUCAUUCAAAAAACUUAUCAGCAAGCUCGGAUAUUGUCUUCAAAACUGCUGGAGUUCUGUUGGAGGAAAUGCGGGACAAGGGGUUGAAUGCACUUGACUAUAAGGUUAUUAUUCUCGAUGAAGUGCAUGAAAGAUCUGUUGAGUCUGAUCUUGUUCUUGUCUGUUUGAAGCAGUUUCUGAUGAAGAACAAGGACUUGAGGGUAGUGCUGAUGUCAGCAACUGCUGAUAUCGCAAGAUAUAAAGAUUACUUCAACGAUCUUGGUAGGGGUGAACGAGUAGAAGUGCUAGCUAUCCCUAACUCUUACCAGAAAACUGUUUAUGAUCGAAGGGUCUUUUAUCUUGAACAGGUAGCUGAAUUACUAGGACAAAGUUCAGAGUCAUCCUCUUUGAGUUUGAGAUAUUGUUCGGGUCAUUCUCCUUCCAUAGCUAAAGCUGAUAUCAAACCUGAAGUUCAUAAACUUAUUCAUGAUCUGGUGCUGCACAUUCAUGAGAAUGAACCAGACAUUGAAAAGAGCAUUUUGAUUUUUCUUCCAACAUACUAUUCCCUGGAGCAGCAAUGGUAUCUUCUGAAGCCACUUGGCUCAUCUUUUAAAGUACACAUUCUACAUAGUAGUGUUGACACUAAACAAGCUCUCGUGGCUAUGAAGAUUUGGAAAUCGCAUCGUAAGGUAAUACUGGCCACAAAUAUUGCAGAAUCAUCUGUGACAAUACCCAAGGUGGCCUUUGUCAUUGAUUCAUGCCGAUCUUUGCAAGUAUUUUGGGAUAAUAAUAGGAAAAAUGAAUCUGCAGAGCUCACAUGGGUUUCCAAGUCUCAGGCUGACCAGCGUAGAGGUAGAACUGGAAGAACUUGUGAUGGCCAGAUUUAUCGAUUGGUAACUGGAUCAUUUUUCAGCAUGUUUGAGGAUUAUGAGCCUCCCUCUAUACUAAGGCUGUCUUUGAGGCAGCAAGUGCUUCAAAUUUGCUGUGCCAAGUCUAAAGCAAUGAAUGACCCCAAGGUUUUGCUGCAGAGAGCUCUAGAUCCUCCACGCCCAGACAUUGUUGAAGAUGCAUUAAAUUUGCUAGUCCACAUGCGUACAUUAAAGAAAACAUCUCCAAGGGGUCGGUAUGAACCUACAUUUUAUGGACGAAUGCUGGCAAGCUUUUCUCUGUCUUUUGAUGCUUCUGUUUUAAUACUUAAGUUUGGACACAUUGGGAUGCUGAGGGAAGGCAUUCUUUUGGGUGUAUUGAUGGAUACACAACCCCUACCCAUUCUGCGUCCUUUCGGUGAUGAACUUUUGAGUACAGAGUAUAUGGACUGUUACUUUGCGGAAGAUAGUGGUAACACUGGCCUAACUGGUAAGAAGGAGAUACUACUCAUGGGAAACUUGUGUGCAUUUCAGUUUUGGCAACGUGUCUUCAAGGAUAAACUCCGUGUUGAGCAUUUGAAGCAAAUUUUACUAUUUGAUGCAACCAAAGCAUCCACUUCACUUUUUACCAAGCUUGAAGAAGAAUGGUGCUUUCUCCAUAAUCUUGUACAGUCAUCUCUGGAUCAUAUUUCUGAAAUAUAUGAAGAUGUACUAAACUCAGUCCACCUGUUUCGGCCCAAUUUUUUGGGUGGCUCCAAAGGCUUGCCUUGCUACUAUGAUCCGGAUGAGUUUAACCAUAGCUGCCUUCUCAUGAGUUGUCAUCAAAAGGUAGAUUCAGAUGCACUUGAGGUGAAUGAUGAGAACUCUACAAAAAAGUGUUUUGCGGUACCCUUUGUUAAUUCUAAUAACUUCAAGAAAAUUGACGUGGCCAAGGAGUUUGCAGCCAUUAUCAAAGAGAUAAAACUUCAGGGGACAGAAGAUAUGGCUGGUUAUCAGAUUACAAAUUCUCUUGACAAUGGUGAGCUGCCUAUGGGUUUAUCCUAUGUCAAUGGAGCCGGCUAUUGGGGCAAUCAAUGGUUAUUUUCUCAUUCACAGCAAGCAACUAGGCCUCCAUGCAAAUUUUUCUUUUCUCUCCAGGGUUGUCGAAAUGGAGAGUCAUGUUCUUUUUUGCAUGAUAGGGGUCUGCAAGCAUCGGCACACAGUCCAACUCUCUGCUUACCUGAAGAUGGUAACGCCGAAGCUGCACAUCUUCUUAGAUUGUUUCCUGCAGCAUCUUCAGAUAAAUAUAUUCUACUAUUGGAUGACACCGAUUUGUAUUUCUCUUCAAAAAUUGCUAGCCACUUCGGCCCAUCCAAAAUAUUUGCCACCACAUCUUUGUCUCAGACCUCCAUAUUUGAGUCAAACUUGGAAGAAGUCAAAGUUUUCUGGGGUCUGUAUCACCCGUUCCAAACCAUCAUUUCCAAAGAAGGUAAGAACCCAAUCCCUUGGAGUGAAGUUCAGUGUGUUCUAUGGUUUCCAAACCUUGGUAGCAGUAGCGAAAAUAUGGAACAAGACAAAGCAACCUUACAGAGCUUCUUUGAAUACUUGGCCAUUCGUAUACUAGCCGGUGCCUUAAAUGAAGUGCAAGUUAUCCUCACCAUGAAUAAUCUAAGAUUUUCACAGCUGCAGGUGGAAAAGUUGGGCAGAGAUUGUUUCUUCUUCCUUUCAGAGUCAUUUCGGUUUGAUGAAAGAAGCUUUGGAAAGCUGCCCGAUAAAGUCACUACUAAGAAACCAAUGGUGAAACCUAAGCCCAUUUCCUACGUUUUCAGGCUGAAACCUCCUUCGGUUGUUCAAUUUGGUGAUCAUGCAGCCAGACUUCACCAACUUCUAUACGAUGUUUAUAGAAGAGAUGCGGUCAAGUCCGAGGAGUGAGCUGGGAUGAAAAGGAAGAACAAUGGAUAUGAAACUUAAAAUAUGCCCUACAAUUGAAAUAGAGAAGUGCUAAGUGACCUAGCCUACGGAGGUAAUGGAUGAUGAAAGACCCAGCAAUGAUAUCUAAGGGUGACUUGGUGGAGGUAAUGGAUGCUUGUCGACUAGUCGGAGAAGCUUGCUAAAAGCAUGGCUUCUUCCUCUCCUUGUCAAUCACGGCAUUGAUUCCCAUCUAUUUGAUAUCGUAUGCUUUGGAUACCAACUGUAAUGUCUAACAAUUACAUACUUUGAACUCAUUGCAUUAAUGAGAGAGAUUUUAUAUAUAUAUAUAUAUUAUAUAUAUACACCUUAUUCUUCAAACAUUGACAUCAGAACUCUUAAAAGGUCUUGUGUAACAACAAUCCUGUUGACGCGGUUUUUCGUCAACAGGUAAUUAAGAAAUGAAGAGAAAGGGAUUAGUGCUAA